UACGUAGGGUGCGAGCGUUAAUCGGAAUUACUGGGCGUAAAGCGUGCGCAGGCGGUUCGUUGUGUCGGCGGUGAAAUCCCCGGGCUCAACCUGGGAAUGGCCGUUGAAACUGGCGAACUGGAGUGUGGCAGAGGGGGGUGGAAUUCCGCGUGUAGCAGUGAAAUGCGCAGAUAUCAGGAGGAACACCGGUGGCGAAGGCGGCUUGCUGGGCCAGUUCUGACGCUGAGGAGCGAAAGCGUGGGGAGCGAACAGG
RNAcentral lists this ribosomal RNA (253 nucleotides) under uncultured bacterium. RNAcentral describes it as "partial 16S ribosomal RNA". It matches the Rfam family "Bacterial small subunit ribosomal RNA", at positions 524 to 776 of the family's 1533-position model. The record is from RNAcentral.